AAUAGAUACCCGGGUAGUCCACGCUGUAAACGAUGUGAACUAGGUGUGGGCAGUAUUGACCCUGUCCGUGCCAAAGCCAACGCGAUAAGUUCACCGCCUGGGGAGUACGGUCGCAAGGCUAAAACUCAAAGGAAUUGACGGGGGCCCGCACAAGCAGCGGAGCGUGUGGUUUAAUUCGAUGCAACGCGAAGAACCUUACCUGGGCUUGACAUGACCGUAGUAGUGAACCGAAAGGGGAACGAGCCUUCGGGCCGCGGUCACAGGUGCUGCAUGGCUGUCGUCAGCUUGUGUCGUGAGAUGUUGGGUUAAGUCCCGCAACGAGCGCAACCCGCGUCGCUAGUUACAAGUGUCUAGCGAGACCGCCGGUAUCAAACCGGAGGAAGGUGCGGAUGACGUCAAGUCAGCAUGGCCUUUAUGUCCAGGGCUACACACACGCUACAAUGGCCAGUACAAAGGGCAGCGAAGGGGCGACCUGGAGCGAAUCUCAUCAAAGCUGGUCGUAGUUCGGAUUGUAGGCUGCAACCCG
This 526-nucleotide ribosomal RNA is filed under the name uncultured bacterium. Its description in RNAcentral is "bacterial SSU rRNA". It matches the Rfam family "Bacterial small subunit ribosomal RNA", at positions 777 to 1314 of the family's 1533-position model. The record is from RNAcentral.